RNAcentral lists this ribosomal RNA (443 nucleotides) under uncultured Sphingomonas sp. Its description in RNAcentral is "bacterial SSU rRNA". It matches the Rfam family "Bacterial small subunit ribosomal RNA", at positions 336 to 796 of the family's 1533-position model. The record is from RNAcentral. Lineage: Bacteria; Pseudomonadati; Pseudomonadota; Alphaproteobacteria; Sphingomonadales; Sphingomonadaceae.
UUCCUACGGGAGGCUGCAGUGGGGAAUAUUGGACAAUGGGCGAAAGCCUGAUCCAGCAAUGCCGCGUGAGUGAUGAAGGCCUUAGGGUUGUAAAGCUCUUUUACCAGGGAUGAUAAUGACAGUACCGGGAGAAUAAGCUCCGGCUAACUCCGUGCCAGCAGCCGCGGUAAUACGGAGGGAGCUAGCGUUGUUCGGAAUUACUGGGCGUAAAGCGCACGUAGGCGGCUUUGUAAGUUAGGGGUGAAAGCCCGGAGCUCAACUCCGGAAUGGCCUUUAAGACGGCAGCGCUUGAAUCCAGGAGAGGUGAGUGGAAUUCCGAGUGUAGAGGUGAAAUUCGUAGAUAUUCGGAAGAACACCAGUGGCGAAGGCGGCUCACUGGACUGGUAUUGACGCUGAGGUGCGAAAGCGUGGGGAGCAAACAGGAUUAGAUACCCUUGUAGUCU